GUCAGGAUAGCUCAGUUGG
This 19-nucleotide transfer RNA is filed under the name Briza maxima. Its description in RNAcentral is "partial tRNA-Phe". Lineage: Eukaryota; Viridiplantae; Streptophyta; Magnoliopsida; Poales; Poaceae. RNAcentral also lists the same sequence under 45 other names. The record is from RNAcentral.